CCGUGCUAGGCGGGGGGCUCGGGGUCCCCUGUACCGGAAACCCUCGAUACGCCGGGCUGACUACCCGUCCGCGGCCUCUGUGGGACCGGGCAGCCCCCGGUAAGCAGUGUUGAUGGUCGGGUCCUGCGCGACCUGGAGCCGUGAACCCGGUCAGGCCCGGAAGGGAGCAGCCGUAAGCGGUGUACCGAGUGCGCCGCAGGGUCAUCCGGCCGGAGCCGGCUGCCGGGGAUAGCGACGGCCGCGCAGAGGUCCAGGACGGGGUGCACGG
Molecule: signal recognition particle RNA, 268 nt
Filed under: Actinomycetota bacterium
Lineage: Bacteria; Bacillati; Actinomycetota
Description: signal recognition particle sRNA large type
Rfam family: Bacterial large signal recognition particle RNA
About the family: The signal recognition particle (SRP) is a universally conserved ribonucleoprotein involved in the co-translational targeting of proteins to membranes. Archaeal SRP consists of a 7S RNA and homologues of the eukaryotic SRP19 and SRP54 proteins.
Source: RNAcentral